Molecule: ribosomal RNA, 253 nt
Filed under: uncultured bacterium
Lineage: Bacteria
Description: partial 16S ribosomal RNA
Rfam family: Bacterial small subunit ribosomal RNA
Source: RNAcentral
GACGAAGGAUUCAAGCGUUGUCCGGAUUUACUGGGUUUAAAGGGCGCGUAGGCGGAACUCUAAGUCAGUGGUGAAAGCUCUCGGCUCAACCGGGAAAUUGCCAUUGAAACUGGUUUUCUUGAAUACAGUGGAGGUAGAUGGAAUAUAACAUGUAGCGGUGAAAUGCUUAGAUAUGUUAUAGAACACCGAUUGCGAAGGCAGUCUGCUACACUGUCAUUGACGCUGAGGCACGAAAGCGUGGGGAGCGAGCAGG